RNAcentral lists this ribosomal RNA (501 nucleotides) under uncultured soil bacterium. RNAcentral's name for it is "bacterial SSU rRNA". It matches the Rfam family "Bacterial small subunit ribosomal RNA", at positions 35 to 569 of the family's 1533-position model. The record is from RNAcentral.
GCUGGCGGCGUGCCUAACACAUGCAAGUCGAACGAGAAAGUGGAGCAUCCAUGAGUAAAGUGGCGACCGGGUGAGUAACACGUGACUAACCUACCUUCGAGUGGGGGAUAACAUCGGGAAACCGAUGCUAAUACCGCAUAAUAUCGCAAGAUCAAAGCAGCAAUGCGCUGGAAGAGGGGGUCGCGGCUGAUUAGCUAGUUGGCGGGGUAACGGCCCACCAAGGCGAAGAUCGGUAGCCGGCCUGAGAGGGCGCACGGCCACACUGGAACUGAAACACGGUCCAGACUCCUACGGGAGGCAGCAGUGGGGAAUUUUGCGCAAUGGGGGAAACCCUGACGCAGCAACGCCGCGUGGAGGAUGAAGCCCCUUGGGGCGUAAACUCCUUUCGACCAAGACGAUAAUGACGGUACUGGUGGAAGAAGCACCGGCUAACUCUGUGCCAGCAGCCGCGGUAAUACAGAGGGUGCGAGCGUUGUUCGGAAUUAUUGGGCGUAAAGGGCG